Molecule: ribosomal RNA, 1374 nt
Filed under: uncultured bacterium
Lineage: Bacteria
Description: bacterial SSU rRNA
Rfam family: Bacterial small subunit ribosomal RNA
Source: RNAcentral
GAUUGAACGCUGGCGGUAUGCUUAACACAUGCAAGUCGAACGGAAACGAUACUAGCUUGCUAGUAGGCGUCGAGUGGCGGACGGGUGAGUAACGCGUAGGAAUCUGCCUGAUAGUGGGGGAUAGCCCGAAGAAAUUCGGAUUAAUACCGCAUAAUCUAUUCGUAGUAAAGUGGGGGACUUUCGAGCCUCACGCUAUCAGAUGAGCCUGCGUAAGAUUAGCUUGUUGGUAGGGUAAAAGCCUACCAAGGCAACGAUCUUUAGCUGGUCUGAGAGGAUGAUCAGCCACAUCGGGACUGGGACACGGCCCGAACUCCUACGGGAGGCAGCAGUGGGGAAUAUUGGACAAUGGGGGCAACCCUGAUCCAGCAAUACCGCGUGUGUGAAGAAGGCCUGAGGGUUGUAAAGCACUUUCAAUUGUGAAGAAAAGUUAACGGUUAAUAACCGUUAGCCUUGACGUUAACUUUAGAAGAAGCACCGGCUAACUCCGUGCCAGCAGCCGCGGUAAUACGGAGGGUGCAAGCGUUAAUCGGAAUUACUGGGCGUAAAGCGUGCGUAGGCGGUUUAUUAAGUCAGAUGUGAAAGCCCUGGGCUUAACCCUGGGAACUGCAUUUGAAACUGGUCAACUAGAGUAUGGUAGAGGAAAGUGGAAUUUCUGGUGUAGCGGUGAAAUGCGUAGAUAUCAGAAGGAACAUCAAUGGCGAAGGCAGCUUUCUGGACCAAUACUGACGCUGAGGUACGAAAGCGUGGGUAGCAAACAGGAUUAGAUACCCUGGUAGUCCACGCCGUAAACGAUGAUAACUAGCCGUUGGGGGGAUUUACCCUUUAGUGGCGAAGCUAACGCGUUAAGUUAUCCGCCUGGGGAGUACGGCCGCAAGGUUAAAACUCAAAGGAAUUGACGGGGACCCGCACAAGCGGUGGAGCAUGUGGUUUAAUUCGAUGCAACGCGAAGAACCUUACCUGGUCUUGACAUCCUGCGAACUUUCUAGAAAUAGAUUGGUGCCUUCGGGAACGCAGUGACAGGUGCUGCAUGGCUGUCGUCAGCUCGUGUCGUGAGAUGUUGGGUUAAGUCCCGUAACGAGCGCAACCCCUAUCCUUAUUUGCCAGCACGUCAUGGUGGGAACUAUAAGGAGACUGCCGGUGAUAAACCGGAGGAAGGCGGGGACGACGUCAAGUCAUCAUGGCCCUUACGACCAGGGCUACACACGUGCUACAAUGGGAAGGACAAAGAGCCGCGAAGCCGCGAGGUGUAGCUAAUCUCAGAAACCUUUUCGUAGUCCGGAUUGGAGUCUGCAACUCGACUCCAUGAAGUCGGAAUCGCUAGUAAUCGUAGAUCAGAAUGCUACGGUGAAUACGUUCCCGGGUCUUGUACUCACC